Molecule: ribosomal RNA, 576 nt
Filed under: uncultured bacterium
Lineage: Bacteria
Description: partial 16S ribosomal RNA
Rfam family: Bacterial small subunit ribosomal RNA
Source: RNAcentral
UGGGGAAUUUUGGACAAUGGGCGAAAGCCUGAUCCAGCAAUGCCGCGUGUGUGAAGAAGGCCUUCGGGUUGUAAAGCACUUUUGUCCGGAAAGAAAUCCUUGGCUCUAAUACAGUCGGGGGAUGACGGUACCGGAAGAAUAAGCACCGGCUAACUACGUGCCAGCAGCCGCGGUAAUACGUAGGGUGCAAGCGUUAAUCGGAAUUACUGGGCGUAAAGCGUGCGCAGGCGGUUUGCUAAGACCGAUGUGAAAUCCCCGGGCUCAACCUGGGAACUGCAUUGGUGACUGGCAGGCUAGAGUAUGGCAGAGGGGGGUAGAAUUCCACGUGUAGCAGUGAAAUGCGUAGAGAUGUGGAGAAUACCGAUGGCGAAGGCAGCCCCCUGGGCCAAUACUGACGCUCAUGCACGAAAGCGUGGGGAGCAAACAGGAUUAGAUACCCUGGUAGUCCACGCCCUAAACGAUGUCAACUAGUUGUGGGGAUUCAUUCCUUAGUAACGUAGCUAACGCGUGAAGUUGACCGCCUGGGGAGUACGGUCGCAAGAUUAAAACUUAAAGGAAUUGACGGGGUCAUAGCUG